ACACACACACACACACACACACACACACACACAUACAGGUGAGCAGGUCCUGAAUUAAAAGCCGAACACACACAGCACACGCUGCAUUUGAACACUUCACACACACAGAACUACAGCAUUCACACACUAACGGAUCGUUAUAUUGUCUGGAUGAAGACGUGGAUUUUUCUCUCAUUAGCAGCUCUGUCUGCGGUGUGUGCGGGACAGCAGGACUGCUGGCGCGGGGCGUGUUACCCUGCGAUGGGCGACCUGCUGCUGGGGCGAGAGCAGAACCUGCGCGCCUCAUCCACAUGUGGUCUGAUGGGGUCUGAGGUGGUC
This is a long non-coding RNA of Cyprinus carpio (common carp), 318 nucleotides long. RefSeq lists it as uncharacterized. The record is from RefSeq and is a predicted model, not a curated record. The transcript has 3 exons. Lineage: Eukaryota; Metazoa; Chordata; Actinopteri; Cypriniformes; Cyprinidae.